AGCCUACCUGGGAGGCCUAUAUAAGCCUCGGUCACACAAACUGGCUCAGUUUUUCCGGGUCACGCCGUCUCCGUAUAAUUUCCCUGCGCUAGUCUCCUUCAGACAGAGAUAAUCAUGCUGCAAAGUACAUAUUGUAUCCUGAUCUUGUGCCUGUUUGUGAUCAUCUGCCUAUCUGAGGUCCAUUCAAUGUACUACGGACGCAAUCCGUAUUUCCGUGGGUAUCCCCGCCGGCCCUGGGGAUACCCGGAAUGGGAUUCGGAUGGACCAGAUUUCGACAUGUGGGAUUAAUCGUGGCCUUUAUACAAUGCCAACAAAGAUAGCGGCGACUUAAAAUGAGGGUAGCAUGUUUUAAUAAAACACAUAGCCUAAUCACCUGAUCACCAUAACAACAAAACAAACAUAGCAAAGAGGCAUUGCUACGGUUUACGUUGAACACAAAAAAUAAAUGAAUAAAACACA
Molecule: long non-coding RNA, 459 nt
Organism: Mizuhopecten yessoensis (Yesso scallop)
Lineage: Eukaryota; Metazoa; Mollusca; Bivalvia; Pectinida; Pectinidae
Exons: 4
Source: RefSeq, a predicted model, not a curated record